UACGAAGGGGGCUAGCGUUGUUCGGAAUCACUGGGCGUAAAGCGCGCGCAGGCGGAUUGAUAAGUCAGGGGUGAAAUCCCGGAGCUCAACUUCGGAAUUGCCUUUGAUACUGUCUGUCUUGAGUCCGGGAGAGGUGAGUGGAAUUCCUAGUGUAGAGGUGAAAUUCGUAGAUAUUAGGAAGAACACCAGUGGCGAAGGCGGCUCACUGGCCCGGUACUGACGCUCAUGUGCGAAAGCGUGGGGAGCAAACAGG
RNAcentral lists this ribosomal RNA (253 nucleotides) under uncultured bacterium. RNAcentral describes it as "partial 16S ribosomal RNA". It matches the Rfam family "Bacterial small subunit ribosomal RNA", at positions 524 to 776 of the family's 1533-position model. The record is from RNAcentral.